GGAGGGGGCUAGCGUUGUUCGGAAUUAUUGGGCGUAAAGGGCGCGUAGGCGGCUUGGUAAGUCAGGCGUGAAAUCCCGCGGCUCAACCGCGGAACUGCGUUUGAAACUGCCGGGCUUGAGCCCCGGAGAGGGUAGCGGAAUUCCCAGUGUAGCGGUGAAAUGCGUAGAUAUUGGGAGGAACACCAGUGGCGAAGGCGGCUACCUGGACGGGUACUGACGCUGAGGCGCGAAAGCGUGGGGAGCAAACAGGAUUAGAUACCCUGGUAGUCCACGCUGUAAACGAUGGGCACUUGGUGUUGCGGGUAUCGACCCCCCCUGCAGUGCCCGAAGCUAACGCAUUAAGUGCCCCCGCCUGGGGGAGUACGGUCGCAAGGCUG
Molecule: ribosomal RNA, 377 nt
Filed under: uncultured organism
Description: partial 16S ribosomal RNA
Rfam family: Bacterial small subunit ribosomal RNA
Source: RNAcentral